Molecule: ribosomal RNA, 484 nt
Filed under: uncultured bacterium
Lineage: Bacteria
Description: partial 16S ribosomal RNA
Rfam family: Bacterial small subunit ribosomal RNA
Source: RNAcentral
AUUGAACGCUGGCGGCAUGCUUUACACAUGCAAGUCGAACGGCAGCGCGGGCUUCGGCCUGGCGGCGAGUGGCGAACGGGUGAGUAAUACAUCGGAACGUGCCCAGUAGUGGGGGGUAGCUCGGCGAAAGCCGGAUUAAUACCGCAUACGACCUGAGGGGGAAAGCGGGGGAUCUUCGGACCUCGCGCAAUUGGAGCGGCCGAUGGCAGAUUAGCUAGUUGGUGGGGUAAAGGCCUACCAAGGCGACGAUCUGUAGCUGGUCUGAGAGGACGACCAGCCACACUGGGACUGAGACACGGCCCAGACUCCUACGGGAGGCAGCAGUGGGGAAUUUUGGACAAUGGGCGAAAGCCUGAUCCAGCAAUGCCGCGUGUGUGAUGAAGGCCUUCGGGUUGUAAAGCACUUUUGGCGGGAACGAAAAGGACUGUGCCAAUACCACGGUUCGAUGACGGUACCCGCAGAAUAAGCACCGGCUAACUACGUG